Molecule: ribosomal RNA, 472 nt
Filed under: uncultured bacterium
Lineage: Bacteria
Description: bacterial SSU rRNA
Rfam family: Bacterial small subunit ribosomal RNA
Source: RNAcentral
AGGACGAACGCUGGCGGCGUGCUUCAUACAUGCAAGUCGAACGAGAAACUGACUUCGGUCAGUGGAAAGUGGCGGACGGGUGAGUAAUAUGUAGAGAAUCUGCCCUUGAGUGAGGGACAACAGAAGGAAACUUCUGCUAAUACCUCAUAUGAGCUUAGUUGAAAUACUGAUCUUGAAAACUCCGGUGCUCAAGGAUGAGUCUGCAUCUGAUUAGCUAGUUGGCGGUGUAAUGGACCACCAAGGCGACGAUCAGUAGCUGGUUUGAGAGGAUGAUCAGCCACAAUGGGACUGAGACACGGCCCAUACUCCUACGGGAGGCAGCAGUAGGGAAUUUUGCGCAAUGGGCGAAAGCCCUGACGCAGCAACGCCGCGUGAACGAUUAAGCCCUUCGGGGUGUAAAGUUCUGUCAGUAGGGACGAAACUUGACGGUACCUACAGAGGAAGCACCGGCUAACUCCGUGCCAGCAGCGGC